CUCCUGGAAACGGGUGGUAAUGCCGGAUGCUCCAGUUGAUCGCAUGGUCUUCUGGGAAAGCUUUCGCGGUAUGGGAUGGGGUCGCGUCCUAUCAGCUUGACGGCGGGGUAACGGCCCACCGUGGCUUCGACGGGUAGCCGGCCUGAGAGGGCGACCGGCCACAUUGGGACUGAGAUACGGCCCAGACUCCUACGGGAGGCAGCAGUGGGGAAUAUUGCACAAUGGGCGCAAGCCUGAUGCAGCGACGCCGCGUGAGGGAUGGAGGCCUUCGGGUUGUAAACCUCUUUUAUCGGGGAGCAAGCGAGAGUGAGUUUACCCGUUGAAUAAGCACCGGCUAACUACGUGCCAGCAGCCGCGGUAAUACGUAGGGUGCAAGCGUUAUCCGGAAUUAUUGGGCGUAAAGGGCUCGUAGGCGGUUCGUCGCGUCCGGUGUGAAAGUCCAUCGCUUAACGGUGGAUCCGCGCCGGGUACGGGCGGGCUUGAGUGCGGUAGGGGAGACUGGAAUUCCCGGUGUAACGGUGGAAUGUGUAGAUA
RNAcentral lists this ribosomal RNA (534 nucleotides) under Bifidobacterium longum subsp. suillum. RNAcentral describes it as "bacterial SSU rRNA". It matches the Rfam family "Bacterial small subunit ribosomal RNA", at positions 147 to 696 of the family's 1533-position model. The record is from RNAcentral. Lineage: Bacteria; Bacillati; Actinomycetota; Actinomycetes; Bifidobacteriales; Bifidobacteriaceae.